RNAcentral lists this transfer RNA (77 nucleotides) under Ahrensia marina. RNAcentral's name for it is "tRNA-His". It matches the Rfam family "tRNA". From Rfam's summary of the family: Transfer RNA (tRNA) molecules are approximately 80 nucleotides in length. The record is from RNAcentral. RNAcentral also lists the same sequence under 2 other names. Lineage: Bacteria; Pseudomonadati; Pseudomonadota; Alphaproteobacteria; Hyphomicrobiales; Ahrensiaceae.
GCAGCAGUAGCUCAGCUGGUUAGAGCGCCGGUUUGUGGAGCCGGAGGCCGGUGGUUCGACCCCACCCUGCUGUACCA